This 647-nucleotide ribosomal RNA is filed under the name uncultured bacterium. Its description in RNAcentral is "bacterial SSU rRNA". It matches the Rfam family "Bacterial small subunit ribosomal RNA", at positions 110 to 753 of the family's 1533-position model. The record is from RNAcentral.
GUAAUACAUCGGAACGUGCCCAGUAGUGGGGGAUAACCCGGCGAAAGCCGGAUUAAUACCGCAUACGACCUACGGGUGAAAGCGGGGGACCGAAAGGCCUCGCGCUAUUGGAGCGGCCGAUGGCUGAUUAGCUAGUUGGCGGGGUAAAGGCCUACCAAGGCUACGAUCAGUCGCUGGUCUGAGAGGACGACCAGCCACACUGGGACUGAGACACGGCCCAGACUCCUACGGGAGGCAGCAGUGGGGAAUUUUGGACAAUGGGCGAAAGCCUGAUCCAGCAAUGCCGCGUGUGCGAAGAAGGCCUUCGGGUUGUAAAGCACUUUUGUCAGGAAAGAAAUUGUCUGGGCUAAUACCCCGGGCCGUUGACGGUACCUGAAGAAUAAGCACCGGCUAACUACGUGCCAGCAGCCGCGGUAAUACGUAGGGUGCGAGCGUUAAUCGGAAUUACUGGGCGUAAAGCGUGCGCAGGCGGUUUGUUAAGACAGUUGUGAAAUCCCCGGGCUCAACUUGGGAACUGCAAUUGUGACUGGCAGGCUAGAGUUUGGCAGAGGGGGGUGGAAUUCCUGGUGUAGCAGUGAAAUGCGUAGAUAUCAGGAGGAACACCGAUGGCGAAGGCAGCCCCCUGGGCCAUGACUGACGCUCAUGCA